RNAcentral lists this long non-coding RNA (1746 nucleotides) under Sus scrofa (pig). Its description in RNAcentral is "lncRNA (ENSSSCG00040067072.1)". Lineage: Eukaryota; Metazoa; Chordata; Mammalia; Artiodactyla; Suidae. The record is from RNAcentral.
AUGGAAUGCAUAAAUGAACAAACUGAUGUGGUUCCAAACAACCCUGGCUGGGAAAGAAUAAGGACACGAUUCUUGAUGUUGGUCUUUGCGGGAAAAGGUACCCGCCUGCCGUCCUUUUAUGACUGUCUGGAAGAAGGUGAUAAGGGAGCAGAGUCUUCAGGUCUUCGCUGGACUGCAGCCUCUCACCCGCCCUACCUCUUGCCCCCUGGUGUAGAGGUGGCGCCUACAGGUACCUGGUCUGAUUGCCAAGCAGCCAAGGAGGCCCCUGGGCGUGUUUGGAGGCUGGAGCCAUCAGCCUCAGGUGAGCUCCAAGCGCUUUACCAAAGCCGCUCCCAGGUCAGGGGGAGGGUCAGACCCUGCCCAGCUCCCUGCCCACUCUGCCCAGGUGAGCUGUGUGUGUGUGAAGAGGUGGUUCUGGAGGAUUCCAGCUCUGGCACGUAAACUCCAGAGGGGCCGGGAUAAGGUGUUUUAUUGGAUUCACUGUGCACAGUGCCUGGUGCCUGCUUGGGCCAGGGCAGGUGUGCAGGUAUUGAGUUGGUGUCAGAUGAUGAGCCUUCUUCAGUGGCUCUGUGACAAGGAGGGAAAUUGGCCCAAGGGCUCUCCUGGUCACACCUCCCCAAAUUCACACAUGCUUUCCAGCUAUUAUUUCAUUCAUUCAGUUAUUCGGUGAUGACUUACUAUGUACCCACUCUAUUAAUUAUACAUUGCUGAGUCACAAACUGGCGAACUUAGUGGCUUAAACAACACUCAUUAUUUCCUGGUUUCUCUGGGUCAGGAAUGGGCACCACUUUUCUGGGUGCUCUGCUUAGGGAUCUCACAGGCUGCAAUCAAGGUGUCAGUGAAAACUGGGGUCUCAUCUGAAGGCUUGACUGGGGAAUGACCUGUUGCCAAGCUCACUCACAUGGUGCUUGACAGGAUUUGGUUUUUGGGGGGUGGUCCUGCUGAGAGCCUCAGUCCCUAGCUGGCUAUUGGCUCAGGGGCAAUUUCAGUACCUUGUCAUAGGGGUCCCCCCAGCAUGUUCUUUUUUUUUUUGUCUUUUUGGCAUUUUCUUAGGCUGUUCCCAUGGCAUAUGGAGGUUCCCAGGCUAAGGGUCGAAUCAGAGCUGUAGCUGCCAGCCUACGCCAGAGCCACAGCAAUGUGGGAUCCGAGCCGCAUCUGUGACCUACACCAUAGCUCACGGCAAUGCCGGAUCCUUAACCCACUGAGCAAGGCCAGGGAUUAAACCUGCAACCUCAUGGUUCCUAGUCAGAUUCGUUAACCUCUGAGCCACGUGGGAACUCCAUAACUUUGUCAAGUUUAGCAAAGGAGAUAGUCUUCUAGCAAGGUGGAAGCAGACUGCAGCACCAGGAUGCAGGAUCCAGUGUUGCAGCAGCUACGACUUGGAUCUGAUCCCUGGCCUGGGAACUGCAUAUGCCAAGGGGUGGCCAAAAAAAAAAAAAACAACGAAAAGAUGGAAGUGUAAAUUUUUAUAACAUAAUCAUGAAUCAACACUCCAUCAAUUUUGAGGUGUUCUAUCGAUGAGAAGCAGGUGACCAAAGGGGAAGGAAUUACACAAGAUGGUGCACCAGGAGAUAAGGUUCUUUGGGGUCAUCUCAGGAGGUGCCUACUUCAGGGGAUUUUGGGGGACAAACUCUAAGAUGAUCCCCAGUGACCCCCAUCUCCUGGUAUUCACGUCACGUAUGAAUACCGCCCCCCAAGCCCCCAGGUGUGGAUGGGACCUCUGACUUGAUUCUCAGCAAUAAAACA